This 253-nucleotide ribosomal RNA is filed under the name uncultured bacterium. RNAcentral's name for it is "partial 16S ribosomal RNA". It matches the Rfam family "Bacterial small subunit ribosomal RNA", at positions 524 to 776 of the family's 1533-position model. The record is from RNAcentral.
UACGUAGGGCGCAAGCGUUGUCCGGAAUUAUUGGGCGUAAAGAGCUCGUAGGCGGCUUGUCACGUCGAUUGUGAAAGCCCGAGGCUUAACCUCGGGUCUGCAGUCGAUACGGGCUAGCUAGAGUGUGGUAGGGGAGAUCGGAAUUCCUGGUGUGGCGGUGAAAUGCGCAGAUAUCAGGAGGAACACCGGUGGCGAAGGCGGAUCUCUGGGCCAUUACUGACGCUGAGGAGCGAAAGCGUGGGGAGCGAACAGG